UUGGUUUUAAUUAUUGUAGGUCUACACUUUGAAAAUUGAACUUACACAAAGUAGUGAGACAUACACUAAUUUCAUCAAA
This 79-nucleotide microRNA precursor is filed under the name Medicago truncatula (barrel medic). RNAcentral's name for it is "MIR5269 microRNA precursor family". It matches the Rfam family "MIR5269 microRNA precursor family". The record is from Rfam by way of RNAcentral. Lineage: Eukaryota; Viridiplantae; Streptophyta; Magnoliopsida; Fabales; Fabaceae.